This 437-nucleotide unclassified non-coding RNA is filed under the name Burroughsia fastigiata. RNAcentral's name for it is "partial external transcribed spacer". The record is from RNAcentral. Lineage: Eukaryota; Viridiplantae; Streptophyta; Magnoliopsida; Lamiales; Verbenaceae.
CCGAUCGCCGCAUGGACUGAGCCAAGAGACUCGGCCAAAACGGAAACGGACGUCGUCCGCAUGAAGCGCAGAACGCUCUUAUUUUCGGGGCAUAUAGAGGCCGAGGACCUCGUACCGCAUCGCUAUUCCACAUCCGAGAGAACCAACACAACGACAAGGGCCAACGAGUACGAUCGCGCUACAGCGAUGAAUCGUGGAACACGUCGAGUGCUUCGGUGUCCGCCCCGCACCGCAUCCCCGAAAGGCGCAGCACAAGGCGGAAAGGGGACAUCGGGGCUACAUCAUGCCUUCUCGAUAGGUAUACAACACAGGAAACCGACAUUGGUCAAGGCAAUCCGCAACUUGAGCCAACAAUUGAAGAGGCGAGAACAAGAUGCCGUCGCUGCCCGAGCAGGGAACCGACAUGCCCAUACAAGCCAAUCACCACUCACGCGCUC